This 117-nucleotide ribosomal RNA is filed under the name Thiothrix sp. The record is from RNAcentral. Lineage: Bacteria; Pseudomonadati; Pseudomonadota; Gammaproteobacteria; Thiotrichales; Thiotrichaceae. RNAcentral also lists the same sequence under 1 other name.
CUUGGUGAAAAUAGCUAGGGGGGUACACCUGGUCCCAUUCCGAACCCAGAAGUUAAGUCCCUAUACGCCGAAAGUACUUGGAGAGUAGUCUCCUGGGAGGAUAGGUAUUUGCCAAGC